This 976-nucleotide ribosomal RNA is filed under the name Escherichia coli. RNAcentral's name for it is "partial 23S ribosomal RNA". It matches the Rfam family "Bacterial large subunit ribosomal RNA", at positions 911 to 1869 of the family's 2925-position model. The record is from RNAcentral. Lineage: Bacteria; Pseudomonadati; Pseudomonadota; Gammaproteobacteria; Enterobacterales; Enterobacteriaceae.
UGUUUCGGCAAGGGGGUCAUCCCGACUUACCAACCCGAUGCAAACUGCGAAUACCGGAGAAUGUUAUCACGGGAGACACACGGCGGGUGCUAACGUCCGUCGUGAAGAGGGAAACAACCCAGACCGCCAGCUAAGGUCCCAAAGUCAUGGUUAAGUGGGAAACGAUGUGGGAAGGCCCAGACAGCCAGGAUGUUGGCUUAGAAGCAGCCAUCAUUUAAAGAAAGCGUAAUAGCUCACUGGUCGAGUCGGCCUGCGCGGAAGAUGUAACGGGGCUAAACCAUGCACCGAAGCUGCGGCAGCGACGCUGAUGCGUUGUUGGGUAGGGGAGCGUUCUGUAAGCCUGCGAAGGUGUGCUGUGAGGCAUGCUGGAGGUAUCAGAAGUGCGAAUGCUGACAUAAGUAACGAUAAAGCGGGUGAAAAGCCCGCUCGCCGGAAGACCAAGGGUUCCUGUCCAACGUUAAUCGGGGCAGGGUGAGUCGACCCCUAAGGCGAGGCCGAAAGGCGUAGUCGAUGGGAAACAGGUUAAUAUUCCUGUACUUGGUGUUACUGCGAAGGGGGGACGGAGAAGGCUAUGUUGGCCGGGCGACGGUUGUCCCGGUUUAAGCGUGUAGGCUGGUUUUCCAGGCAAAUCCGGAAAAUCAAGGCUGAGGCGUGAUGACGAGGCACUACGGUGCUGAAGCAACAAAUGCCCUGCUUCCAGGAAAAGCCUCUAAGCAUCAGGUAACAUCAAAUCGUACCCCAAACCGACACAGGUGGUCAGGUAGAGAAUACCAAGGCGCUUGAGAGAACUCGGGUGAAGGAACUAGGCAAAAUGGUGCCGUAACUUCGGGAGAAGGCACGCUGAUAUGUAGGUGAAGUCCCUUGCGGAUGGAGCUGAAAUCAGUCGAAGAUACCAGCUGGCUGCAACUGUUUAUUAAAAACACAGCACUGUGCAAACACGAAAGUGGACGUAUACGGUGUGACGCCUGCCCGGUGC